AAAGAAAAAUCGAUUACCAUCCCUCAUUCUCCCUCACUCAAUCUACUGAAAUUCUAGACGAAGGGCCCCUCCCUCUCGUCCUCCUUCGCCACCGCAGCCAACGAGGUAGAGUUCCGGCGGUUGCUAGAUGUUUAAAUAAGUGUUGCUAAAUUAGCAGCACUUUUUUAGGUUUUAGCGACACUCUUUAACUGUCCCUAUAUACCUAGCGACCCCACAUAUAGCAACACUUUUUAAAAGUGUCGGUAAUUUAGCCAGCAACACUUUUUUUGGCCUAUACCGACAUUUAAAAGUGUCGCUACAGACCUUUUUUUUUGUAGUGUUAGUGAAAAAAAAGUAGUCUUUGAAUGAGAAUGUUUUAAGAUUACAACCCACUUUAGGUUGUAAACUUAGCAUUUGUUCCUCUAGAACUCAUGUUUCAUCAACAUCAUCAGUGAUCAAUUUUGUUCCACACGACCAUUUUCAAAAUAUAUAAUGUUUAUAAAUAUAAAGGAUCAAAAAACUUCUCAUUAAACUGCUAUUUUGGUUAAAAAUUAAAAUUUCUAAAAAUAUUCAGAAAAUAAUAAAAUUUACCAAAUAUUUUUAAAUUUCUUAAUUUUUUACAAAAAUUUAAAAAUAUUUUUAAUUAAAAUAAUCCUUCCUAGCAGUCAACUUUUUGACUAUUGGAAAUGGUGUUUUUGGUGCUAUGGAUCAAAAUCCAAAUCUUCUUGACCCUUGGAAGAAGGCCCAUCUUUGGGAGAAGGGCCUGCCCAUCUCCCAAAGGAUGGCUCUGUUCUUGGGCCUUCUCCCAGGUCCAAGGCCUGUCUCGGGCGGCCCUUGCUGGCCGAGCCGUGCUGGUCAGGCAGGCAUGUCAAAAUUUUGGACAGCUUUAGAACUCAUAAUGUCCAUUACGCUGGGCCGGACCAACAUAGAUUCUACAGUAUUUGUGUUGUGUCUCAGCUAUGAAUGCAAUUAUAAAUGUCAAAAUUUAACAUUUGACGUAUAUUCAUAUUUGAAUUCGUAUUCAAAAAAAAAAAGAAAAGAAGACGCAAAUAUGGUUUCUUAUGAAUUUCAUAUUCAAAUUCUAUUUAUAUUUAUCAAAAUAUUAAGUUUCGCUGGAUAAAAAAUUUAUUGAACAAAAUAUAAGCUUAAACGCUAAUGUGAACCUUCAAUUGCAUUGUGUGUUUUAUUUGAGUUAAUUUUAGUUUAUAUUUAUCUAUGGAGCUAGGUCCCUAUACUUUCAAAAAUACGGAGGUUUUUAUGCUUGUAAUUUGUUUUUGAUGAUGAGACGACGUCCAUUUCGACGAUCAACUCCGUCGGCAUGAUAUACGCUAUUGGAACUAAUUUAUAAACUACAUCUCACAAUUUUUUUGACUUUAUUUGUCUAAUGGAUGAGAAAUCUCAAAAUGAACGACUGAAAAUAAAAAUAUCAUAAAAAAUAAUGAUAAAAGACUAAAAUUUCAAAUGGAAAGUAUUGUCUUGCUCUUGAUCUUAAGUAAAAUUUUCUAUUAAAGUUUUAUAUAAUUUGGAUUCUUCCACACCAUUAAACUUACAAACAUAUCACAUAAGCUGUUAAAAUAGUCAUUUUUUAGACUAUUUAAUUACUUGGUAAACAAUAUCGAAAAAUUAUAAAAUUUAAUUUCUAAAUAGUUCUAAUAGUUAGAUCAUACCUAAUAGAGCUGAUCGUCAAAUUGGAUGUCCUAUUAUCCAAAAUAACUUAUAAGUACGGAGGCCUCUAUAUUUUUGAAAACAUAGGAGAUGUACUCUUUAUAUAUGUAUAUCAGUAUAUAUUAUUAUCCAAAUAAUAUCCGAAUAUAAAUCUGGCUCAUAUCUGAAUCCGAAUUCGUUUUAUAUUAACGAAAAUUUAGCGGCCAACACAUAUCCACAUUCGAAUUUGCAUCCAAAGAAAAAUAUGGAUGCAAAUAUGGUUUUUUCAAGAAUCCGAUCAUAUUAGACUGAUUUCAGCCCUAGCUAGUCCCAACCCAGCCUGUUUUCAUGUCAGGAUGAGUGACUCAUGGGCUGCCUGACCCAUUGUCGUGCCAGGUUAGGCAGCUCACGAGCCGCCCGACCCGUCUUACGCCCUUAUAUAAUAUUCUUAUUUCAUUUUGUCUUCCAUCUUGUUGUCUAUAAGGAAUUAUCAUGAAUUAUUCUGCUAUUAUAACUUUGGGGUUGUAUGGUAAUUUUCGGUGGAAAAAUUUUUUGGAGGAAAAACCAAUUUUAUGCUCUUUACUGUUUGAUUUGUAGAAAAAAAAAAGUUUUCCAUCACAUGCAGUCGUUUGGUAGAAAGGAAAAAAAAAAGAAAAAAAUAUAAAACUAUUAUAUGUAUUGUUCCUAUUUUAUAUAUUAUUAUACAUUACUGAUAUAUAAUAAUUAUCAUACUACAUAUAUUAUUAUUUUAACUUUAUUUGUAAAUUAAAUAUACCAAAAUUAUAUUAUAUAAUAAAUUGAUAAGUAUACAAUAUAAUUUAUGUAAUAGUAUGUACAUAAUACUAUAUAAUAAAAAUAUAAAAUAUAUAUAAUUUCAACCGCUCUCUUAUAUAAAUUUGUACAAUAAUCCAAAUAGUGCAUGGCCCUCUGCGUAGGCAACUCACGCCGUGCACGAGGGACCACGUGAGCUUUCCACCGAUGGACUCAAUUUAAAGGUGUUCGUGGAUCGGGUGGGAUCUGGAUAGUUGAUAUGCUGUAUCUGUACCUUAAAAAGAAAUUGUUAGAAAAAAAAAUAUACCUUACCUAUUUAACUUCGGGUCGGGUUUGGGUCUAGAUACUUUAAAUUACUAAUAUACCAAUUAGGUCUAUUUGAGUGAGUUUGAGUAAUGACUACCCAUAUAUUGCCCGUUCAAGACUGAAUACGGGUCGGAUCUAAAUCGGGUAUGGGUAUCCAUAUACAUAUAUUUUUUUUAUAGACUUUAUUAAAUAGUCUGUGGACAAAUUAUAAAUCUCCCUCUGUAAAAAAACUCGCAUUCUAAUAAAUUGUACCCAGUCCAAUAAAAUUCAUUCAAAAUAAAAAAUAAAAUAUCUCAAUACAUAGGUCUAAAAAAUAUGCACCUAUCAUAAAAUAAUAUGAACAAUAUAAUACCACAAUAUAUAUGGGGCUCAAACACAUGCUCUUAUUAUUAUAUAGUUAAAAUGCAUAUAUGAAACAUUACAAUGAAAAAAUAAGUUCAAGUUUUUAAUUUUCACGAGUGAACAAUAAGAUAAUAGUUAAAAUAACUAAUAAAAUAGUUAUCAAAUUUUUUGUCGAUUGAUUCUUUUUGCGAGAUUUUCAGUAACAAAAAUGUUGAACUUGUCAAAUAAACUCUUAUCGGAAAUGAAACAAAAAAAAUAAAGAGUAAAAAAAUUAGAAAAAAGAAAGAAGUAAAAGAGUGGCUAGGGUUUCCGGUGUUUCAUUAGGAUGACAAUACUUAGAGACCGCUCAUCUAUAAGUGCUAUUAAAAUUGAUCCCUCAACUUUCAAAAGUUUAAAUCUUUUUUAUUCACUAUCGGAUAUUUCAUCGGGUCCGGAUUCGAAUACGGAUUUGAAAACUAUUCCAGACCCUACCUAUUUAAAAGUUGGGAUCAGGUCGGGUCCAAGUCAGGUAUAGGUAUAAAAUAUCCGGACCCAUACUCCAAACUUUAAUGGGUAAUUUUUUUUACCCAUAUACUGUCCAUUUUUUUUCGGGUUCGGUACGAAUCCGGAUAGGGUCCGGAUCAGGUAUGGUAUAUCGGAUAUUUUGGAUAGCUUUAGAACUCAUAUGUCGUGUAUUUUGUAGAGCGCAACUUUUCGUUUUCUACCGUCUUCUCUCGCAAAAGGAAAAGCUCGAUCUUAUUCUGUAAAAUAAUUUACGCGGAAAUAAAUUUUAGAAUGAACCAAACCGUUUGAAAAUUGUUUUCAGUCCGAAAUACAAUUUUCGGCCUACGUUUACAAGUAAACUAACACACCCUAAAACAUCUCCUUAAACAUUCGCAUAUUUUUUGGCUAGUUUUCUAUUUGGAUUCCUAUAUAUUCACUCAUGUGGUAAUUCAUCAUUCUAUUUGUUUAGAUAUCAUCAUAUGUAUAUCUAGGAAAUCGUAUGCUUUGGAAGAAGCUUGUACAUUUUGGGAAGCCCUUUCCUUACCACACACUUCUUAAUUUUUUUAUCCUAAAUCACACCUUCUGUUCCCCAUCUUCCAUACAAAUUUCUUUAUCGUAAAUCAAAUACUUUUUUUUUUAAAAAAAAAAUUUGGGUAGAAAUCAACUACUAUAUAUUUCAUCUUUCACGCAAUAAACUCAUUUUAAUCAAAUUCCAUUUGUUUAACUCAGCACGCCUCAAUCUCUCACACACACAAACUUAAUUUUCUACUGCGUUAAUCUAGCUAGCGAUCCCAAAAUGAGAUGUUUCGCCACUAAAGAAGAAUCAGUACUACAUUCCACAUUUGAUAGCUUGAAUAAAUUUACGGGAAAAAAAAAGAAAAGUUAGUUGAUGAAAAGGAAAGCAGAGGUAUUAGUAGAGGUGAGACAUACUUGGUUGUUCCUUCCCUGGGUGUUGCUGCUCCGACAACUUGCCCACUACUUAAUUAGAAAUCUUGAUCCGUCGUACUCUUCGAGUACUUAUUGUGUUGGAUAUAAUAGGGCCAAAUGCUUUUGAUUUUUCCAAGGGGAAAAUUUGGUAACGUGGGUCUGGAGCUGGCGUAUAAAAUGUUCACAUGGGCAGCCAUUACUGACCGCCAAGCACUAGGUAUGCUUUUUAUAACAUAUUUAAGAUUGCGUUAUGUCGGCAUGUCUCCGGUUGUUCGUUGACAUACACAGAAGACAUUCGCUUUCGUAAUUAUAAAGAUCUAUAUGAUUAAUAAGUAAUAUAAUAUAUAUAGAUAAUAUAUAUUAUUUAUAUAUAUAUAUAUAUAUACUAUUAGAAGUUGAGCGUGGCAUUGCUAUCUGUUAGCAAACGGGUGCCGUUCACCAUUUAUUUCGAUGAUGGAAGUUUCAAAUCGCACAUCGAGCACCGAUUGAACAUGAUCUUAUAUCACUUGAAGUAUUUAGAAAGAUUAAAUUUCAAUCUGUUUCGACUCAUUUACGCGGUGUAAUGAUCAAAAGAUUUCAAAGAUAGUAAUUUUAACUGUGUGAUAUGAGGGGUUUCCGUUUAACCGGUAUAAAGCUAGUCAAAGUCAAUUGAAUUUUAUAUAUAAAAUUUGUUUAAUAUAUUUUAGAAUAAGAUCUCUACUUCGAUCGAUGAUUAUUUAAAUUUCUUUAUCUUUUUGGGAGGAUAUUCAUUUUUCACAGUUCAUUUUUACGCGCCACUUGUAUGGACAAGAAAAGCAGUAUCAGGAAUUAAGUUAUGAAAUUUGAGUUUCUAGAUACUUCAAAGGUGGGUAUAGAUAUUUUCAAAGAGGUGCGAGUCGGUCGACUUUGGAGGCGUCUAUCAUCGGGACAAAUGGCGCGAGGUGCCAACGGAGCCUUUUGCUACGAUAGUAUUCAGUCAACGAUAUAUGAUAUAGUAUAUAUAGUAUGAUAUUGUGGCUGAGGAGCUUUGAAGCAGGAAGGCCGCUUUGUGUUCACUUGUGUUUUCGAUGUUCGGACUUUCGAGACGACGGAUCGGCUCCAUGUUUAGACUUGAUCUAGAGUAUUGAAGUAUCUAGAAAUAAAUUUGCAACUUUUUCGAUAUCAUUUUCGCCUAGUAAUUCGAAGUCGUGCUCCAAAAUCAACGCUGAAAUAAAAAUCUUACAAAAUAUUGAUGAUAUGGACAUUAAAAUUUAUAAAUCAAAGUUAUUGAGUCUUGUUUUAUGUGUAGUUAAGAAUUCUAUUCAAAAAUUUCAAUGUUGAUUUGGUAUUUCUACACCGUUAAAGCUUGCAACGGCUACCAAGGGCCGUUAAAAUUAUUGGAUAUUUGAGCCUUCGAUUGCAUAUUUCAAGAGAUUAUGAAGAUGACAAAGUAUUUAUUAUGAUCAACUUUAGUUUGUUUUGUGUUUUUAGGGCAGCGAAAACGAGCUUGGAAGACUUGAGGCGCUCCGGUGCUUCCAUAAAUCACUUACAACUUUCUCUCUCUCUCUCUCUCUCUCUCUCUCUCGUUUUUUUAAUAUAUAUUAUAUUAUUAUAUAAAAUAUAUUAUUCAUUUAAACAGUAUUACACUCUUUUUAAACCGUUGAUCUAAAUAUAAUCUAAGGAUCGAGGUAAAGCAAUGGCGACUUUUUUAUUUCUAUGUCAAAAUACUCUUCCUCACUCCAUAGGAUGUGACACCACUUUAAUAGCCUUGGAUUUCACAUUUAUUUACAUAGGAUGUGACACCACUUUAAGGUUUGUUACUCUAACUAUUUGCAUUAAUUUUAGGCUAAAUUACAGAAAACCCCCUGUAAUAACCCGCUUUUUCACUUUCCCCCCCUGACAUUUAAAAAUCUACACUUUGCCCCCUGUAAAAUAAAAAAUGUUCACAGGGGGGUUAUAGUAUGUAAAAUGACCAUUUUGCCCCUUGUCAUUGUCGUCUUCUUCCCCAUCUUCCUCAGCCGCCCCUUUGUUCGGCCGCGAUUCCCACCUCAAUCGGCCGCGAUUUCUCUCCAUUUCCUUCCUACCUGCUCCCUUUCUCCUCCUGCACCCUCGCCGCCCUCGAUUUCGGCGACAGUAGGAGAAAACCGAGGUGGGCGACAGUAGGAGAAGGGCAAAGAAGGCGAAGGCGAGGCAGCGGAGGACGACAAAGGGGAUGUGGAUGAGGGCGAGGCAGUGGAGGACGGCGAGGCGGCGAGGCGGCGGCGAGGUGGCGAGCCGGAAGGAGUCGAAGCAACAGGGAGAUGGCGGAGGAAUAUUUUCAGCAUAAAAAUAUAUUUUUUAACGGAACCCUAACGGUAGGGGGUGAAGUGCACAUUUUUUAUUUUACGGGGGGGCAAAGUGUUGGUUUUUAAAUGUCAGGGAGGGAAAGUGAAAAAGCGGGUUAUUAUAAGGGGGUUUUCUGUAAUUUAGCCUUAAUUUUAUGUGCACUUAAAACAUUCGUUUUUUUUUAAGUGUGAAAGCAAAUAAUGAAGUUUAAUAGUAAAAUAUAUUAUAAAGGGGUUAUUGCUAUAAUUGGCCCUAGAACUUUACUUUGUUAAUAAUUUCUUAAAAAUUUUAUUUAUUUUAAUGUGAAUUGUUGCAGUCAAUUAAAUUUUGAAUUUUUUAUAAAAUUAAAUUUCAGUGUAUUAAAAUCAAUUGCAACCAUCCAAAAGCAUGGAAAGAAAUAAAAUGUUGAUAAUUUUUUAUCUAAAUAUUGCCAGUUUUUAUAUAAAUUAUUUUGCUGUAAAAAUUUUACUUAUAUUAAAAAUUAUCAACCAAAGUCAUCUUAGUUAGUACAGGAAAACUGAUUAUAUAGUGGGUUUACAAUGGAGGGGAAAAAAAAAGGGAGUGAAACCCAAGGCUAUUGUAGUGAUGUCAAAUCAUAUGAAGUAGGGAAGAGUAUUUUAGCAAAGAAACAAAAAGUUGCCUAUUGUUUCAUCUCAAUCCUUGGAUUGUACUUAGAUCUACGGUUCAAAAAGAGUGUAAUACUGUUCAUUGUUACACUUAUGUUAUUUGAACUUGACUCUAUAUAUAUAUAUAUAUAUAUAUAUAUAUAUAUUAUAUAUAUAGAGAGAGAGAGGGACGGCAGAGAUGAUGACGGGAGAAAGAGGAUUGAGAUUGGAAUAGGAAGCUGAGUGAAGACGCGAGAGAGAGAGAGAGGUUGGCUUGUGCAUGGUAUCAUGCAAUAGCACCCAAGGAUUUGUGCUAUCGAGUUUUUACCGUUAGAUUUAACCCUAUGAUUAUUUUACCCGGUUAGAUUAUACUAUUCAACCAACCAUUCACUCAACCUAUGCGAACCCACAUCAUCCUAACCACCCAUUUCUCAAUCCAAGGGCUAAAAAUCAAUAGCACCAAUAGUUGGUGCUAUUGAUAGUAUCCAGCCCCAUAGUUAUAUAUAAUAUCAUAAUAUAUAUAUAUAUAUAUAUAUAUAUAUAUAUAUAUAGUGUAGAGCUACUAUGCUAUUGGAAGUAUAGAGAAUCUGAUGCUUCCAACUUUUUGAACAUUGGAUAAAAAAUUAUACGGUUAGGAUGGUUGCGAUCCCCCCAGAGUUGAGUAGUACCCUUAGGGUUGAGUGGUCCCCAUAGGGUAAUAGUAUUAAUCCAAAAGUUAGAAAUGAUCAAAGGGGUUGAUCUAAGGGCCAACAAAUUGAAAGCACCAGAUCCUCUAUGAUUCUGAUAGCAUAGUAGCUCUACUAUAUAGAGUUGGGCUGGAAUGCUAUCGGUAGCAAACGAACUCCGUUGCCACCUAUUUGUUUUCGAUGAUGGAGCCUUCAAAUCGACGAUCGGUACCGUUGAAUAUGAUCUAAAUCACUUAAAGUAUCUAGAAAUCAAAUUUCAAAUCUUUUCGACAUCAUUAACCUAAUGAUCAAAGGGUUUCAAAAUUUGUAAUUUUAAUGGUAGAUAUGAGACAUUUUCUUGUUUAACGGUGUAAAGCAAUCCAAAUCAAUUGAAUUUUGGUUAGAAAUUCUUUAACCUAUUUAGAACAAGAUCUAUACUCUCGAUCUUGAUUAUAAAAUUCCAAUCAUCACUUUUUAGAGGAUAUUCAUUUUCAGCCGUUCAUUUUUACGUCCACUUGAUGGACAAGAGAACAAUAUCGAAAAAGCAUGAAAUUUGAUUUCUAGAUACUUCAAGUGGUAUAGAUCAUGUUCAACGGUGCCGAUCGUCGAUUUGGAGGCUCCAUCAUCGAAAACAAAUGGGUGGCAACGGAGCCCGUUUGCUACCGAUAGUAUUCCAGCUCAACUC
This 8690-nucleotide long non-coding RNA is filed under the name Ananas comosus (pineapple). RNAcentral describes it as "long non-coding RNA (ACOM_LNC003347)". The record is from RNAcentral. Lineage: Eukaryota; Viridiplantae; Streptophyta; Magnoliopsida; Poales; Bromeliaceae.